CGACCUCCUCUCUCCUCGUUCUCGCUCGCGUGCGCUCGGUUACCGGAACCACCGCGCCACCGCGCCGUGUCGUGGUGGGGAUUUUUCCGCCGCCACCAGGAAACCCACCGGCAGCCGCAAUCGGGGGGCAAUAUCUGGUUGGGGUGCUUCGUAGGGUUGCACCGAGUCUUGUUAAUGCAUCUACGGGCGCACUAGAUGGUUGGGACUGCUCACCGGAGCUCUGCGGGCAGCUCCGGGCCGCAUCGGUGCCAUGGUCAGGACUCCUCACUUCUCAAAUUACCGUUAAAUUUUCCCUUUCGCGCUCACCAGGGCCCCUGCUACGAUUAGUUCUCUUUAGAUCGGGGUUUGUUGCACUAAUGCGGUGUAUGGGCGUGCCCAGUAUGGCCGCCGCCGCGGUAAGCGCGCGUUCCGCCGCUUGCGCACUGGCGUGGGGUGGAAGACGGCGUAUGGGCUGUCCGAUCUUUGACGAGCGCGUAAGAUUAGUUCGUGUUGUAAGGAGCCUGGGCCAUCGGAUCGGAAUUGAAGGGAUACGAUUCGAUCGUGGGGAUACCGAUUCGGGGGCUUAAUUUCGACCAUUGAUUGUCUAUCCAAUGGUUUGGGUUAGAUAUGGGCGUGGAGUGUUGCGGUACAUGGAUCCCGGAUCAAACGGUUAUCAUCGCGUACCGGUUCAUGAAGAGAUAAUCUAAUUUACACCGCCAGUUUCUGAUCUGACGGUGCUCGUUGUCCGAUACCCUUUCGGCUAGCCAUCUUUACAUAAGAGCCCUCGGAGGAAAUGAAAUUCAGCCCACAGUCCAGGCGGCUAAUGCUCUGUGUCUUAGAGAUUCUCACACUAGGGCCCCUGCGGAUUUCUGGAUUCAUGCACCCAGUCCUGGGAGUUAGAAAAUUAGAUAAAUGGAUUUAAAAAUAGAUUUUAAGAUGACAAUAAUAGCUAGAAUUUGUUUAAUUCAUACAAAAUUCAUAUUGAGUCAAAAUUAAUCCAUUUCAGUUUCUAUAAUUUUCUAAUAUUAUUGUUUAUCACAUAGUACCACUGAUUUGACAUGAAAGCCACUUUAAAAUUUAUUUCCUAAUUAAUCUUAUAUCAAAUAUAUAAAACCUUAAGAAAUUCAUAACUCAUCCAUUUUAACUCUGAUUUGAUCCAUUCAAGUUGUGUUAGUCUCGUAUGAAUAUUUACUAUGCAAUAGCAACAUUUAUUAUAUCAUGUCUUAUUCUUUUAUAAUUAGGUCUUUAUUUAACUUAUGUUGGUUAGUCUCGUUAAACUACUACGGAACAAUUGGAUCUAUACCAUUAAAAGAUCCAAACUUUAGAUAUAUACCAUGGACCCCACAUGUCAUUGACUCAUGUGGACCCACAUGUAAGUGAGAUAGUAAUGGUAUGGAUCCAAAGUGGUGAUCUUUUAAUGGUAUGGAUCCAAAUUUCCCCUACUACUUAUCAUUAUAAUCUACUAGAAUAUAAUCUAUGGUCAAUUUAUAACUUAUCAUUAUAAUCUACUAGAAUAUCAUUAAGUUGAUGUAAUUAUUUAUAGAAUAACCUCUUAUAUGAUUUAUAUUAACCAAUUUAUAAUAUAGUUUAACAUUUUAAUCACAUAAAUCCUCUAUAAAAUCAUAACUCCUUAACCGUGACUCCGAUUUUAGUGGUUCUCGUUCCCACGAUUUUGUAGCAACGCGUAGAUUAUUAUUAUGUUGUAUGUUCUUAUGUUUGGUGUGAUGUUAAUUUUGUCUAUACCAUGUUUGUUUGUAUUGCUACGACUAGCGUGAGGUCACGAGGAUCUGAAGAAUCAUCCUGGUACCUGGAAUCUCAAGUGCUAGGCAAGUUGUGCCCUUGAUCCAUUUUUGUUAUCCAAUAAUAUUCUUUAUUAUCACUAUUCAUGCAUAGGUUUAAUUUUGAUGGGACCCAAUAGGUCACCCUAGUCUGUUUAUCCUGUUUACCUUGUUUACCCCUGAUUCACUUGGGUAGUUAUGCUAUUGCAUUAUGUGGUUUCAGGUUAAUAUUUCAUUAUAUCCAUGUUCCUAUUAUUCUGUUAUGUUAUUUAUGUUCAUGAUAAGAUCAUUAUGUUAAUGGGAACAUGGAGCGACCACCCGGGAAAACAGUGCUACCACAAGGGUUUAAUGAGACACCCUUGGCUGAUUAAUUAGGAAAGCUAGUGGAUGACUACCUUACCCGAAAGGGGCAAGGGCAGUAGGGGAGUGGUCAGUGUAGGGAGGUCCUUGGGUUGAUUUUGCUGCAAUGGCGGUCAGGCGAGGGAUUCCUGCACUAGAGCUUCCAAUAAACUAUAGCGGGUUUUCUGAAGCUAGUGGAACAUUGUAAUGGCCUCGUAGUGUUAUCCUGCCUCGCUUCCUUGGUAGAGGUGUAUGGGAUUCAUGACCCCUUGGCAGAUGGGUAACAUGACUUGUGGGUAAAGAUGCGCAACCUCAGCAGAGUGUAAAACUGGUAUACUAGCCGUGCUCACGGUCAUGAGCAGCUCGGACCCUCACAUGAUUAAUCUAUGGAAUUAAAACUCGAUUUUUCAUUUGUAUCGCAUUGGGAUUAUUUUAUUUUUACUUUUACUUAUUAUUACUAAGGUUUGGUAUUUACUUAUACUUAGUAAUUUCUAGUAAAAUUUUGACCAACUUAUAAAAGCAAUGCUCAGCUUUAACCCCUAUUGUAUCAGCUUUACACAUCACAUGAACUCCCACCUUUGGUGAGUUCAUGCCACAUUAUUCCCCACAACUUGUUGAGCGAUGAACAUGUGUGAGCUCACCCUUGCUGUCUCACACCCCCCACAGGAGAAGACCAGUUGGUUCAAGAGGAGCCACACAUCGAGGAGUUCGAUCGAUCUAGGUGGCGUCUCCUAGUUAACUUUCUGGCGCCAAGGAUGGAUUUUAGAUUCUGUUAUAUUUAUCUUUUAUUUUGUAAGACUUCCGCUAUGUAAUAAAUACUAUGAUUAUAUUGUAACAUUUAUCUCUAUACACUCUGUUAUUAUAUAUGUUGUCUUCUUUGGCACAUGUAUGAGAUGCACCCGGCUUUGUCCCUUAAAGCCCGAGUGUGACACAAAGUUUGAGAAAUUUUCUCAACCAUUUGAC
RNAcentral lists this long non-coding RNA (3059 nucleotides) under Zea mays. Its description in RNAcentral is "long non-coding RNA (ZMAY_LNC002892)". The record is from RNAcentral. Lineage: Eukaryota; Viridiplantae; Streptophyta; Magnoliopsida; Poales; Poaceae.